This 492-nucleotide ribosomal RNA is filed under the name uncultured bacterium. RNAcentral's name for it is "partial 16S ribosomal RNA". It matches the Rfam family "Bacterial small subunit ribosomal RNA", at positions 29 to 507 of the family's 1533-position model. The record is from RNAcentral.
AGUGAACGCUGGCGGUAGGCCUAACACAUGCAAGUCGAACGGCGGCACAGUAAGAGCUUGCUCUUACGGGUGGCGAGUGGCGGACGGGUGAGGAAUACAUCGGAAUCUACUUUUUCGUGGGGGAUAACGUAGGGAAACUUACGCUAAUACCGCAUACGACCUACGGGUGAAAGCAGGGGAUCUUCGGACCUUGCGCGAUUGAAUGAGCCGAUGUCGGAUUAGCUAGUUGGCGGGGUAAAGGCCCACCAAGGCGACGAUCCGUAGCUGGUCUGAGAGGAUGAUCAGCCACACUGGAGCUGAGACACGGUCCAGACUCCUACGGGAGGCAGCAGUGGGGAAUAUUGGACAAAGGGCGCAAGCCUGAUCCAGCCAUACCGCGUGGGUGAAGAAGGCCUUCGGGUUGUAAAGCCCUUUUGUUGGGAAAGAAAAGCAGCAGGUUAAUACCCCGCUGUUCUGACGGUACCCAAAGAAUAAGCACCGGCUAACUUCGUG